Solenopsis invicta (red fire ant) is the source of this 3780-nucleotide long non-coding RNA. RefSeq lists it as uncharacterized. The record is from RefSeq and is a predicted model, not a curated record. The transcript has 2 exons. Lineage: Eukaryota; Metazoa; Arthropoda; Insecta; Hymenoptera; Formicidae.
CGGCCCGGGGUAUUUUUCGUCGCCAGACGCGCUACAUAGGGAGCGGAUGAGAUAUAAGGAGAAAGGGGAGGGGAUUCGUGGCAAAAUUCCAUUUCGAAAAGUCUGCCAAGACGUUUCGGUGGGUACCGGCGCGGGCGGCGGCGCGGCGGUUCCGUCGCGAGACUCUCGAGAGCCAGUCGACGAUUCGCAGCGAUCGAAGGAAAUGGUAUUCGAAACCGUCUUAUUUCGCGAGGCGCCGCGCCGCCUAUUUUGCCGCAUAUCGAUCCGAUAUUGCCGGCAAUAGCGAUAAAACCUGCAUUCCAUCGUAUCCGGCACGAGACGGCUUAAAUCGACGUUCGCGGCAACGUCUCCGAAAUACCCAGCGUGUAAACAAAUGCAGGACAUUGUGCGGCUUACACUAAAAUACUGUGAAUACGUUGCCAUAUAUCGUUAAUGCAUUGCCGUACAAAGGAUUUCAAUUAUUUAUACAACGAUGGCUUAUUCAUGGAUCUCCGUAAGAGUAAUAAAAAUUCUGAUGAAAAUGCCUCAUUCCAUCCGCGGCAUCGCGUUUCUAUUUAUUACGGAAUUAAUUGAUUAUGCCGGAACACAUUAGUAAAAGGUACAUGACACGUAAUGCAUAAAGUAUACUGCAAUAAAGCGGGAGAUUAGAGUAAUUACAAUAGCAUUCGUUUGAGCAAUGGUUUCGCUUGAGAAGAAUGCUUUAAUCAACCCAUUUUCCUUUCUUUGUACUGCGAAUACAAUGAUGAAAUCGAUAAUCUCGCCACGCUAUUAUUGCAUUAAUAUAAUGCGAUAAAUAACAUUUAAUCAAAUCGAACGUUCCCAGUUUUCGUGUUAUCUAUUUGGCCGAGCUAAGCGAAAUAUAAUUAAACAAACGGUGAACGACCUUUGUAAAAAUAACAUAUGAUAGAUUAAAACAUCCUCUACUCGGAAUAUUGCAAUUUGGUUGAUGCUAACAAGAAUAUUUCUGGUAUUGGAAUAUCGGACUUUUUCUAUUCGAUGGUACUUCAUUCAUUACAUAUAACGAACGUAUUGAUAUAUAAAAUACGACAUUUCACCGGGUAAAUUAAUCUUUUCUCAAGCAAUAAUUUAAUUUCUAAAAAUUUAAUGAAAGGUAUAUAAUAAUAUUCUAUUACUAAUAUAGGAAAUAGAUAUAAUAUUUUUAAUUGAAGAUUUAAUUUAUCCAAAGAUAUCCGAAAUAUAUUUGUAGAAAUAAAGAAAAAUUAACGAAACCGACUGACAUGAGAUUUGAACUCAGAGAAUUUUUCGUUGCACCUAGAGUGCUAUAUCACUAUUGCAUCAGUGCUCUCAUAAUUAUUUUAGUCAUUUAUGAAUACUUUACUUGGUCUUACUGUUCUUUCUAUUUUCCUACAUAUUCUUAAUGUUCGCUAAUAUUAAUGUUAAAAUCAUUUCUAAAUAAUUUUGUUUAUGUGUUUGCUUUUCGAGCAUUCAUCGAUUCGACUAGAAUACCGCAGAACAAUGCGCUAAAUCUGCAACGAAUAUGUCGAAAAAUGAUUACAAUCGUUUUCUAUACUAAUCACUUUAAAUCCCGACUUUAUUCCGCAUCAAAGAACGCAGUUUUCUUCUAUUGGACCAUGUCGAAGCGCAACAAGCAAAAUGCCGUCUGAGUAAAAUGGAUUCCGCAAAAGCGGGUGCUGUUGAUUCGCACCACAUUCGCAACAAACGUUGCUCGAAUCCCGGGCGACCCAAUAGUAAGGUUGUGGUUCGAAUAUUGGAAAAAAAACGCAUCCGGAAAAGUUUCGGCAAUUGAAUGCAGUCGCAGAAAGUGGCACGCCGGCGGUACGUGCGCUAUAUCCCCUUCUACCACCCCUCCUGUGCUUUCGACUAUUCAUCCUCUGGCGCGAGACUACUUCCGAGCUGGAAUCUGCAUAAUUGUACGUCACUGCUUUCAAAAUGCAUUUUUCCUUUCGUGCCGUUAAUUUUUCGCAUUAACAUCCUUGAAAAUUAAAUGCGAUUUAUUGAACAUUUACACAAACAAUUUUUAUAAGCUAUUAAAUUAUAAUAUAUAAUAAUAAUACGGCGUGCAGAUGAGCUUGCGUAUAACAAACAAGCGAGUGACUUCUUCAACGAAGAUUUUACGAUUAUGUUGGACGACCAACACUUUCAAGAGAAUAAAUUCUUUAACAGAAAUAUAUAUGAUAUAUAUGUGAUUAUAAAUGUGACUUUGUCAGUUAGCGUCUGUAUACGAAUGUCAUUUUAUCGGCCUAGAAAUUUCAAAUUUAUUUCCAACUUCAAAGCGCCAAUGGUUGAACGAUCAAUACAGGUAUUUUGUUUGCAAGGCAAAAGUUUGCUUCAACUGGGAUAUUUAGGAAAUACUCCAUGUUCUACAUUGACAAAGAAUUUACUACAGUUUUAUGGUUCCGCCAUGUCCAAGGCAAUAUCCAUAACGUUACCAUAAAACCGUAAUACCGAUAAAAAUCGGAAAUCUUUGAUUUGGGUGGACUUCGAGAAGUUUAGACCCGACGAUUUGGAAUCCAUUUUUCGUUCGAAAUAUUCCGAAAUACACGUAAAGCAGUAAGAAAACAAAACUAAUCCGUUAACGUUUCACUUUUAUUUUCAAUCAUUUUUAAUUCAGUUGUUAAUUAUAAUGCGAUUUGAUACGUUUGCGUUAUUAGAGACCGUAUUUAAAUAAAAGUUACAUAAUUCUAUUUAAAAAAAUAAUCGAACAAUUUUGUUACUCGAUGAUAUUUUUUCCUACCGUAAUGUUGAUUUCAUGUUUUGUGAUACAGUGUUUGAUAGAGGCGUGAUCGACGUUCGAGUUCGAUGUGGAAUAACGCCCAAUAGAAUUUUCCCCGCGAUGUUUUGCAGUGAGUUCCGCAUAACAGUUAUUCCAAUAAAAGAGAAAAGGAAUUGUGCGAUACCGUUUCCGAUGGUGCCCUUUGUGAAAAUCGCUCGCGCGCGCGCGCGUUCUAUUUGUAUUCCAUUUUCACCGCAAAUUUCACGCGCACAAAAAUUCUAUUUAAUACAGUGUACAUGUACAAAAGUCUAUCAAUUGUACGUUGAAGUUGGAACGCGAGAAGUUGUUAAACGGAAGAAGAGAAAAUAACGAAAAGCCGUCGGAAGUGUGUAUUUAGGUUCGCGAUUGCGGAAAGGUUGAAUCACCACGGCAGGUUGUGGUGAACUAUCCAUAAAUAUCGAUUUCCGAUGAAUUCCAUCGCAUUGCGCUUCUCGCAGUUGUCAUGCGGCAUUUCUUAAGACCUUUAAGUCCACAAAGCUUGUUAUGUCGAUCUACGGCCGACAUCGGAGUGGCAAGAAGUAGAAAAUGUCGGACGAAGGGAAGGUGGAAUCUGCUCGGAGGCAGCGAGUCGAGGACCGGCAGGACGGAAAAUUAUGAUCCACUCAGGGCAAAUCCCUACUCUAUUUCUGGCGGACAAAAUCCUUGAAGUUUCUGGCAGCGUUUAUCACAAAACUCAGGGAAAAAAAAAAAGAAAAUACACAAGAAAAGCGUGGUGUUGAGUAUGCGCUAUACUGAAGGAAAAGUUUAGUGGCUGCUUACGGGCCCGUAUAAAAUUCGAUAGGAGUAAUUCAGAGUGUUGAAGUUAGAAGUAAACUUUCGAAGACAGGUUUUCGUUCAAUUAACGCAAUUCUAAUACGCGGUAAACGUCUCCCGCGACGAUGAGGAACCAUUUGAAUUGUCAACGCGGACAUUAUGACGCUUUUCUCUGUCCAGUGCACAAUGUAAAAAAAUCUAUUAAACAAAAAAAGGGUAAAAGUAUUGUAUUAAAUUUAUAAAUGCAUCGUUACAUGAGCAUAAUGGAAAAA